RNAcentral lists this small RNA (237 nucleotides) under Jaculus jaculus (lesser Egyptian jerboa). Its description in RNAcentral is "7SK RNA (ENSJJAG00000005430.1)". It matches the Rfam family "7SK RNA". From Rfam's summary of the family: 7SK was discovered as an abundant small nuclear RNA in the mid-70s but a possible function has only recently been suggested. Two independent studies have found that 7SK RNA binds the CDK9/cyclin T complex (known as elongation factor P-TEFb). P-TEFb activates transcription by phosphorylating the C-terminal domain of RNA polymerase II. Lineage: Eukaryota; Metazoa; Chordata; Mammalia; Rodentia; Dipodidae. The record is from Rfam by way of RNAcentral.
UGGAUGGAGCCAAUCUAUUGCAACACCUGUCAUCCCAUUGAUGGCUGCUUUGGCUGGGUAGGCAAGUGUCCACUUCCUCCUUCACCACUCAAUAUACAUGCCUUCCAAAGCUGCACAUGAAGCCAAAGAGACCAUCCCCAAAUGGAGAACUGGUCUUCAUAUGAGUAGCUGAGCAGUCCUGCUAAGAACCUCAUCAAAAUGAGUACACUUUUUAAUAAAUUGACAUUAAUUUUAUUA